This 505-nucleotide ribosomal RNA is filed under the name uncultured bacterium. RNAcentral describes it as "partial 16S ribosomal RNA". It matches the Rfam family "Bacterial small subunit ribosomal RNA", at positions 28 to 507 of the family's 1533-position model. The record is from RNAcentral.
GACGAACGCUGGCGGCGUGCCUAAUACAUGCAAGUAGAACGCACAGUUUAUACCGUAGCUUGCUACACCAUAGACUGUGAGUUGCGAACGGGUGAGUAACGCGUAGGUAACCUGCCUGGUAGCGGGGGAUAACUAUUGGAAACGAUAGCUAAUACCGCAUAAUAUUAAUUAUUGCAUGAUAAUUAAUUGAAAGGUGCAAUUGCACCACUACCAGAUGGACCUGCGUUGUAUUAGCUAGUAGGUGAGGUAACGGCUCACCUAGGCGACGAUACAUAGCCGACCUGAGAGGGUGAUCGGCCACACUGGGACUGAGACACGACCCAGACUCCUACGGGAGGCAGCAGUAGGGAAUCUUCGGCAAUGGACGAAAGUCUGACCGAGCAACGCCGCGUGAGUGAAGAAGGUUUUCGGAUCGUAAAGCUCUGUUGUAAGAGAAGAACGGGUGUGAGAGUGGAAAGUUCACACUGUGACGGUAUCUUACCAGAAAGGGACGGCUAACUACGUG